GAUGAACGCUGGCGGUAUGCUUAACACAUGCAAGUCGAACGGACUCUUCGGAGUUAGUGGCGGACGGGUGAGUAACGCGUGAGAAUCUGGCUUUGGGUUCGGGACAACCACUGGAAACGGUGGCUAGUACCGGAUGUGCUGAGAGGUAAAAGAGAAAUUGCCUGAAGAUGAGCUCGCGUCUGAUUAGCUAGUUGGUGAGGUAAAGGCUCACCAAGGCAGCGAUCAGUAGCUGGUCUGAGAGGAUGACCAGCCACACUGGGACUGAGACACGGCCCAGACUCCUACGGGAGGCAGCAGUGGGGAAUUUUCCGCAAUGGGCGAAAGCCUGACGGAGCAAUACCGCGUGAGGGAAGAAGGCUCUUGGGUUGUAAACCUCUUUUCUUAGGGAAGAACAAAAUGACGGUACCUAAGGAAUCAGCAUCGGCUAACUCCGUG
This 435-nucleotide ribosomal RNA is filed under the name uncultured bacterium. Its description in RNAcentral is "partial 16S ribosomal RNA". It matches the Rfam family "Bacterial small subunit ribosomal RNA", at positions 28 to 507 of the family's 1533-position model. The record is from RNAcentral.